RNAcentral lists this non-coding RNA (23 nucleotides) under Cricetulus griseus (Chinese hamster). The record is from RNAcentral. Lineage: Eukaryota; Metazoa; Chordata; Mammalia; Rodentia; Cricetidae.
CAGGUGGAUCUCUGAGUUCAAGG